RNAcentral lists this non-coding RNA (24 nucleotides) under Mus musculus (house mouse). The record is from RNAcentral. Lineage: Eukaryota; Metazoa; Chordata; Mammalia; Rodentia; Muridae.
UAAAAGCAAUAUGAGAACCCGGGU